GACGAACGCUGGCGGCGUGCCUAAUACAUGCAAGUCGAACGCACUCUCGUUUAGAUUGAAGGAGCUUGCUCCUGAUUGAUAAACAUUUGAGUGAGUGGCGGACGGGUGAGUAACACGUGGGUAACCUGCCCUAAAGUGGGGGAUAACAUUUGGAAACAGAUGCUAAUACCGCAUAAAACCUAACACCGCAUGGUGUAGGGUUGAAAGAUGGUUUCGGCUAUCACUUUAGGAUGGACCCGCGGUGCAUUAGUUAGUUGGUGAGGUAAAGGCUCACCAAGACCGUGAUGCAUAGCCGACCUGAGAGGGUAAUCGGCCACACUGGGACUGAGACACGGCCCAGACUCCUACGGGAGGCAGCAGUAGGGAAUCUUCCACAAUGGACGAAAGUCUGAUGGAGCAACGCCGCGUGAGUGAAGAAGGUUUCGGAUCGUAAAACUCUGUUGUUGGAGAAGAAUGUAUCUGAUAGUAACUGAUCAGGUAGUGACGGUAUCCAACCAGAAA
RNAcentral lists this ribosomal RNA (501 nucleotides) under uncultured bacterium. Its description in RNAcentral is "bacterial SSU rRNA". It matches the Rfam family "Bacterial small subunit ribosomal RNA", at positions 28 to 489 of the family's 1533-position model. The record is from RNAcentral.